RNAcentral lists this ribosomal RNA (496 nucleotides) under uncultured bacterium. RNAcentral describes it as "partial 16S ribosomal RNA". It matches the Rfam family "Bacterial small subunit ribosomal RNA", at positions 28 to 506 of the family's 1533-position model. The record is from RNAcentral.
GACGAACGCUGGCGGCGUGCCUAAUACAUGCAAGUAGAACGCUGAAGAGAGGAGCUUGCUCUUCUUGGAUGAGUUGCGAACGGGUGAGUAACGCGUAGGUAACCUGCCUUGUAGCGGGGGAUAACUAUUGGAAACGAUAGCUAAUACCGCAUAACAAUGGAUGACACAUGUCAUUUAUUUGAAAGGGGCAAUUGCUCCACUACAAGAUGGACCUGCGUUGUAUUAGCUAGUAGGUGAGGUAAUGGCUCACCUAGGCGAUGAUACAUAGCCGACCUGAGAGGGUGAUCGGCCACACUGGGACUGAGACACGGCCCAGACUCCUACGGGAGGCAGCAGUAGGGAAUCUUCGGCAAUGGGGGCAACCCUGACCGAGCAACGCCGCGUGAGUGAAGAAGGUUUUCGGAUCGUAAAGCUCUGUUGUAAGUCAAGAACGGGUGUGAGAGUGGAAAGUUCACACUGUGACGGUAGCUUACCAGAAAGGGACGGCUAACUACGU